GCUUGUCUCAAAGAUUAAGCCAUGCAUGUCUAAGUAUAAACAAAUCUAUACUGUGAAACUGCGAAUGGCUCAUUAUAUCAGUUAUAGUUUAUUUGAUGGUUCUUGCUACUUGGAUAACCGUAGUAAUUCUAGAGCUAAUACAUGCAUCAAACCCCGACUUCUGGAAGGGGUGUAUUUAUUAGAUGGAAACCAAUGCGGGGCAACCCGGAUUCUGGUGAUUCAUAAUAACUUUCGGAUCGAUCCUCGGAUCGAUGCAUCAUUCAAAUUUCUGCCCUAUCAAUUUGAUGGUAGGAUAGAGGCCUACCAUGGUGGUAACGGGUGACGGAGAAUUAGGGUUCGAUUCCGGAGAGGGAGCCUGAGAAACGGCUACCACAUCCAAGGAAGGCAGCAGG
This 392-nucleotide ribosomal RNA is filed under the name uncultured Chrysophyceae. RNAcentral describes it as "partial small subunit ribosomal RNA". It matches the Rfam family "Eukaryotic small subunit ribosomal RNA", at positions 30 to 432 of the family's 1831-position model. The record is from RNAcentral. Lineage: Eukaryota; Chrysophyceae.